Molecule: ribosomal RNA, 305 nt
Filed under: uncultured bacterium
Lineage: Bacteria
Description: bacterial SSU rRNA
Rfam family: Bacterial small subunit ribosomal RNA
Source: RNAcentral
GAUGAACGCUAGCGACAGGCCUAACACAUGCAAGUCGAGGGGUAACAGGGAGCUUGCUCCGCUGACGACCGGCGCACGGGUGAGUAACGCGUGUGCAACCUUCCCACAGGAUCGGGAUAGCCCUCCGAAAGGAGGAUUAACACCGGAUGUGGUAAUUUAGAGGCAUCUUUAGAUUACUAAAUGCGAAGCUUGUGGAUGGGCAUGCGUGACAUUAGCUAGUUGGCGGGGUAACGGCCCACCAAGGCGACGAUGUCUAGGGGUUCUGAGAGGAAGGUCCCCCACACUGGUACUGAGACACGGACCAG